RNAcentral lists this ribosomal RNA (715 nucleotides) under Bacillus licheniformis. RNAcentral describes it as "bacterial SSU rRNA". It matches the Rfam family "Bacterial small subunit ribosomal RNA", at positions 39 to 736 of the family's 1533-position model. The record is from RNAcentral. Lineage: Bacteria; Bacillati; Bacillota; Bacilli; Caryophanales; Bacillaceae.
GCGGCGGGGCUAAUACAUGCAAGUCGAGCGGACAGAUGGGAGCUUGCUCCCUGAUGUUAGCGGCGGACGGGUGAGUAACACGUGGGUAACCUGCCUGUAAGACUGGGAUAACUCCGGGAAACCGGGGCUAAUACCGGAUGGUUGUUUGAACCGCAUGGUUCAAACAUAAAAGGUGGCUUCGGCUACCACUUACAGAUGGACCCGCGGCGCAUUAGCUAGUUGGUGAGGUAAUGGCUCACCAAGGCAACGAUGCGUAGCCGACCUGAGAGGGUGAUCGGCCACACUGGGACUGAGACACGGCCCAGACUCCUACGGGAGGCAGCAGUAGGGAAUCUUCCGCAAUGGACGAAAGUCUGACGGAGCAACGCCGCGUGAGUGAUGAAGGUUUUCGGAUCGUAAAGCUCUGUUGUUAGGGAAGAACAAGURCCGUUCGAAUAGGGCGGCACCUUGACGGUACCUAACCAGAAAGCCACGGCUAACUACGUGCCAGCAGCCGCGGUAAUACGUAGGUGGCAAGCGUUGUCCGGAAUUAUUGGGCGUAAAGGGCUCGCAGGCGGUUUCUUAAGUCUGAUGUGAAAGCCCCCGGCUCAACCGGGGAGGGUCAUUGGAAACUGGGGAACUUGAGUGCAGAAGAGGAGAGUGGAAUUCCACGUGUAGCGGUGAAAUGCGUAGAGAUGUGGAGGAACACCAGUGGCGAAGGCGACUCUCUGGUCUG